Molecule: long non-coding RNA, 1476 nt
Filed under: Nicotiana benthamiana
Lineage: Eukaryota; Viridiplantae; Streptophyta; Magnoliopsida; Solanales; Solanaceae
Description: long non-coding RNA (NBEN_LNC015804)
Source: RNAcentral
UUCUGUGGUUCUAGUACGGUUUAUUAGUGAUUAUUACUUGGCUUAAAUAAUUAUGGAUAUUUUAUGUUCUAGAGAAAUUUAUGCACUUUUGCCUUAAACCGCUUUUGUGACGACCCAAGGGGUCAUCACCGUAAUUCUCCCUUUACUUGCACUUUCACCUCAAACCACUUAUAAUUGCUUAACUAUUUGCAUUUAUGGAACUAUCUUGAAACGAACCAUGCCUACACGUAUUCAUUUUUCUUGGUAUGUCAGAAAUCAUGUCACACGUACGUGUACAUAAUUAAUAACACUUUAUUAUUUUUAAGAUUAUUUUAUCAAAAUUGCGCAAACGCAUACUUUGCCUUUAAUUUUGAAAAUCAUAACUAUGUCACGCAAACAUGUACAUAAUCAUGAUAACUUAUUGGUUAACACUCGCCUAAAGCAUACUAGCUUAUUAGAAGUAUUUUAUUUAUUUAUAUUUAAUAAAAGUACUUCAAAUCUCAAUUUUGCUAAUAAAAAUAUACUAAACUUAAUUAUUGACCUAAGUAAUAUAUUUCAUCUAAUACAAUUUAAAACUAUAACUUUAUAAUUCAAUCCCCAAAGUAGCGUAUUAAAUUAAGUAAUUUUCCAAAUGAUAAAAUAAUGUAAUGAAAAUUAAGGCAGGAUGAGAACUCUCUUUGUGUUCACUGAAAUUUCCAAGCAUUUGAAGUUUACAACAUUAAUUGCCAUUAUAUUCUACUAGAAAAAAAAUGACUAAGUAUGUCCGUUAGGGUCCCUCGUCCAACCAAUAAUGGAUUAACAUGGAAAUGGAUUUUAUGAAAAUAUUAUUGGAUACUAGUUAGAAUCUAGAAAUAAAAAUAUAACAAUUUUCAGUAUUAUGAUUGACACUAAGGCGAGGAAAUUUAAAUAACAUAGAUAUGCAAUUCUGUCGGUAACUAAACACCCGAAACUGUAAGUAUUUCCUUUCAUAAAUUAUUGUAUUAUCUUUUAUCAACUUUUAACUCAAAUUACUAACAUUUAUGGGAAUGAGAAAUAAUUUUUUUUUUUAAAAAGAGUAGAAGAAAACCUGGGAAUGCAAAUCUUCUUCAAUAUAUGAUACAAAGAACCUCCAGAACAAGUUUACAAUAAUGAAAAUCCAAACUAAAUACAACAACAAUUAGAUUAAGAAAUCGAAAUAAGAACCGAACCCCUCGUGUGAAAUCGGAAUCUUAAUGGCGACCCCAAUAGUGACUCAUAUUUUAGCCUCUCAAUAUUUUCUCUCUUCACUAGUUUUUCAAUCUUUUCUUUUCUAUUCCUCUCCAUUCCCCAUUGUUUUAUGUGAUAAAAAUGAUCUUUUAUAACAAAGUUGGUUGGAUGGUUGGUCUAAUCAUGUACGUGAGAAUAGGAUAUGAAGAUUAUAGUUAGUGGUUUAGGGAUAAGGAGGAGUGGAGGGGAUCAUGGGGUCAGUUGUGAAUUGUACGUGGAUGGUUGGCAUGAUCAUGGGAAAAUGGUUUUUUU